CCUACGGGAGGCAGCAGUGAGGAAUAUUGGUCAAUGGACGAGAGUCUGAACCAGCCAAGUAGCGUGAAGGAUGACUGCCCUAUGGGUUGUAAACUUCUUUUAUAUGGGAAUAAAAUGUUCCACGUGUGGGAUUUUGUAUGUACCAUAUGAAUAAGGAUCGGCUAACUCCGUGCCAGCAGCCGCGGUAAUACGGAGGAUCCGAGCGUUAUCCGGAUUUAUUGGGUUUAAAGGGAGCGUAGGUGGAUUGUUAAGUCAGUUGUGAAAGUCUGCGGCUCAACCGUAAAAUUGCAGUUGAAACUGGCAGUCUUGAGUACAGUAGAGGUGGGCGGAAUUCGUGGUGUAGCGGUGAAAUGCUUAGAUAUCACGAAGAACUCCGAUUGCGAAGGCAGUUCACUGGACUGCAACUGACACUGAGGCUCGAAAGUGUGGGUAUCAAACAGGAUUAGAUACCCCUGUAGUC
RNAcentral lists this ribosomal RNA (460 nucleotides) under uncultured bacterium. RNAcentral describes it as "partial 16S ribosomal RNA". It matches the Rfam family "Bacterial small subunit ribosomal RNA", at positions 338 to 795 of the family's 1533-position model. The record is from RNAcentral.